Molecule: transfer RNA, 72 nt
Filed under: Phaseolus vulgaris (common bean)
Lineage: Eukaryota; Viridiplantae; Streptophyta; Magnoliopsida; Fabales; Fabaceae
Rfam family: tRNA
About the family: Transfer RNA (tRNA) molecules are approximately 80 nucleotides in length.
Source: Rfam by way of RNAcentral
GUCUCCAUCAUCUAGUGGUUCAGGAUAUCUCUCUUUCAAGGAGACAACGGAGAUUCGACUUCUCCUAAGAUA